AGGGGAUCUUUGGUGCAAUGGCUGAUUCUUGGUCUGGCAAGAAAUGAACAAAAUGAGCCUGGACAUCUUGUCAUACCGGAAGUGAGGAAGCUAUCAAAAAAUACUACAGACAUAGCAAAAGGACUUAGAAGCAAACCUGAAGAGGCCAAAGAAGUAUUCCCCUUUGGAGAUCAAGACCUCUCAUCCUGAAGAGUUCAGAAUUGUGGAGAUGGAGUAGGUCACUGGGAGUGAUGAUAGCUGACUAAAUGAUGGAGCUGGAUGGAGCUGAAUGGAGCUGAAGAACACAAGCAGAAUUGAUCCCAGGCAUUCCGAAGCCUGCCCUGGAGACUAACAAAACAAAACGAAACAAAAUAAGUGAAGGGGAAGGAGUGGAGGCUGGUGGAAGAAGUGGCAACAUUUAGACCUUAAUACUCAUGUGACCUCACUGCCUGGACUUGUGAAGCCUGAGGGUAUUUUAAUUUUAUAAGUAGUACGUAAUUUAAUAAGAAACAUACAGCAGGAUACACCCUUUGUACUACAACUACUGGAUUGCUUUGGCACAGCAAAAAUGCUCUGACACUUUACUUCAGAUUUAAUUCAAUUAAGAAACUGAGUUUCACACAGAAAGAAGGAGAGUUCCUAGCUGCUGGCGAAUCUAUUUAGUAGGUGAGUAAAGGAGAAAGGAUGAGCCUGCCUUGGGCACUGGAGCAAACAGGUACAGAAGAUGUGCAAACAGAUCCAGCAAAAACAUUGGAAAACUUGGAACCAUCUCAGGUUGAGCUGCUUUUCUCCUAACUGAAGAGAGGGUACGUCUGAGAGUCAGGCAAGGGAGAGCCACAGCUGUGGACAGGGGGCAACGAGGAACUAGAGUCUGAGUCUUCGGUGAGGUGGCCUCAGAAGAGAUAAGAAGAAUCAGGUCCAGAAAUGAGAGUUCUGCCUCGCAGGACAAGCGAAACAUAUCUUGAGCUUUCUGUCUUUGUUUUCUUUGAUGUUUUUCUCUGAAACAAUCCUUCAGACAAGAAGAGUAUUAAAUCACAAAUCAGAGGACUUGGAUCUAGUCCCAGUUCUGUCAAUAACAACACUAGCUGAUACAGCAGAAGAUAAUUUGACCCCAAGCAAGUUCAUAGGAUGCAAGUUGGCCAACCCAACAAGUUGGUUAAAAUAUCUAUUUGUUCCAGAAAUCAUAUAUCUAAUCACUGGUUUUUCAAGAAUUGAUCAUUCUGGUGCCUCACAGUAUUGUUUUGCAAUAUUUUAAAUCUUUAGAUGCUUUUGCAUUUUUCAGCAUUCAGAGGUUUAUUUUCCAGUAAAUAAAUCAUAAGCCCUACAUUAUUCAAUUCAUCCUUGUCUAGAAAAUAUCAUUGAGGCAUAAGCUUAAGGCAUUGGUUAACAA
This 1369-nucleotide long non-coding RNA is filed under the name Equus caballus (horse). Its description in RNAcentral is "lncRNA (ENSECAG00000058850.1)". The record is from RNAcentral. Lineage: Eukaryota; Metazoa; Chordata; Mammalia; Perissodactyla; Equidae.